This 69-nucleotide transfer RNA is filed under the name Daphnia magna. It matches the Rfam family "tRNA". From Rfam's summary of the family: Transfer RNA (tRNA) molecules are approximately 80 nucleotides in length. The record is from Rfam by way of RNAcentral. Lineage: Eukaryota; Metazoa; Arthropoda; Branchiopoda; Diplostraca; Daphniidae.
ACUCAUGGCUCAACGGUAGAGCAUCGGAGCGGUAAUCUGAAGGUUUAGGUUUCCAUUCCUAAAAGAGUA